RNAcentral lists this ribosomal RNA (497 nucleotides) under uncultured bacterium. Its description in RNAcentral is "partial 16S ribosomal RNA". It matches the Rfam family "Bacterial small subunit ribosomal RNA", at positions 28 to 507 of the family's 1533-position model. The record is from RNAcentral.
GAUGAACGCUGGCGGCGUGCCUAAUACAUGCAAGUCGAGCGAACGGACGAGAAGCUUGCUUCUCUGAUGUUAGCGGCGGACGGGUGAGUAACACGUGGAUAACCUACCUAUAAGACUGGGAUAACUUCGGGAAACCGGAGCUCAUACCGGAUAAUAUUUUGAACCGCAUGGUUCAAAAGUGAAAGACGGUCUUGCUGUCACUUAUAGAUGGAUCCGCGCUGCAUUAGCUAGUUGGUAAGGUAACGGCUUACCAAGGCAACGAUGCAUAGCCGACCUGAGAGGGUGAUCGGCCACACUGGAACUGAGACACGGUCCAGACUCCUACGGGAGGCAGCAGUAGGGAAUCUUCCGCAAUGGGCGAAAGACUGACGGAGCAACGCCGCGUGAGUGAUGAAGGUCUUCGGAUCGUAAAACUCUGUUAUUAGGGAAGAACAUAUGUGUAAGUAACUGUGCACAUCUUGACGGUACCUAAUCAGAAAGCCACGGCUAACUACGUG